CUCGCUUGCUAUUCCCGAAAAGGGGGAAAGGAUUUGGGGGGGACAAUCGCGGAGCCUCUCGCUGGCUUUAGGGAGAGAGGGCUGGGGUAGAGGAGAGCCCCAGGGAGCAGGCAGAGGUGGGUUGGCUAGGGCCUUGUGUGACUUGGGCUGAGAAACUUCACUUAUUCCCUGGCGCUGGCAGUUGUCAAACUGGGUCUUGUAGAUGCUAAGUCUCCAUAGAGGUAUCGUAGGUGUUCAAGAUGAAGGAGAAGGCUCUCAUUAACAUGGCCUCACAAGAGAACCAGACUUCAGGGAGAGGAGAGCAGAAGGAUAUUCUUUCUGGGAGCCCUGAGCCCAUCUAACCUCCAGUUCGUCCAUCAACUGAUUACUGCUCAGUCACCUCAGAUGAUACCACUGGGAGCCAGAGAACUGCCUAGCUGUGCCCUGCCUGAAUGUCUGACUCAUCACUCAUGGUGGAUGACCUUUUUCCUGAAGAAACUGCUGCAGAAUGAAAGCUCCAGGCGCUUGGGUGCAGCAAGUAGGCUAUGCAUUUCCCACCAGCAGGAAUCUAGCUCCUGGCCAAGGAAAUCAUACGUGAUGUGUAGGGAAGUGUGUGGGGCAGUGGAAGGAAUGUGGACCGUUGCCUCCCUUCGCUUGUCUGGAUGACCUUGGAUGAGGCCUCAAUCCUGGUAGUCACCUGGACUCCUCCUGAAUUUCCCGCAUGUCCUGCAGCAGUGACCCCAUCUGACAUGUUGUGUGGCUGGCUGUCCCCCAGUGAAAUCAUAGCCCUGGAGGGCAGGGUGUGUUUCUUCGUUUUCCUGCCUGGUGUGUGGAGACCCUGUGUGACCGUGGCGCAGA
RNAcentral lists this long non-coding RNA (837 nucleotides) under Homo sapiens (human). Its description in RNAcentral is "HSALNT0305806". Lineage: Eukaryota; Metazoa; Chordata; Mammalia; Primates; Hominidae. The record is from RNAcentral.